Molecule: non-coding RNA, 366 nt
Organism: Lolium perenne
Lineage: Eukaryota; Viridiplantae; Streptophyta; Magnoliopsida; Poales; Poaceae
Source: RefSeq, a predicted model, not a curated record
AGGCCAAGGACUGCCUGGAGUUGUCCACCUGUUGCGGUGGCUCCUGUUUGGCUUACUCAAUUUUGACGGAAGGAGGGCUAUGUAACUCCAGUACCGAUUGACAUACCCACAUGAAGGGUGGUAGGUGAGGAAGGAUGUUGUAAACUGCGCGCAGUUUCCAGGCGAGAACAGUAGUGUCCCAGAUGUAGCAGUUUGUUUUGUAGCAACUUCGUUUCUCUAUUUUGCAUUAGUUGCCCUGUGAAGUGAACAAGGUCUGUGUGUGGUUCUGGCUGAAUACAUACCUUCUAGAGUACUAUGUAUCUAAAGUUUGUUGUUACCCGUGAACAUUUCUGUUAAUCAAAUCCACAAUGUGUCAUUGUUUCAAAA